This 468-nucleotide ribosomal RNA is filed under the name uncultured bacterium. Its description in RNAcentral is "partial 16S ribosomal RNA". It matches the Rfam family "Bacterial small subunit ribosomal RNA", at positions 28 to 507 of the family's 1533-position model. The record is from RNAcentral.
GACGAACGCUGGCGGCGUGCUUAACACAUGCAAGUCGAACGGAAAGGCCCUGCUUUUGUGGGGUGCUCGAGUGGCGAACGGGUGAGUAACACGUGAGUAGCCUGCCCUUGACUUUGGGAUAACUUCAGGAAACUGGGGCUAAUACCGGAUAGGAGCUCCUGCUGCAUGGUGGGGGUUGGAAAGUUUCGGCGGUUGGGGAUGGGCUCGCGGCUUAUCAGCUUGUUGGUGGGGUAGUGGCUUACCAAGGCUUUGACGGGUAGCCGGCCUGAGAGGGUGACCGGCCACAUUGGGACUGAGAUACGGCCCAGACUCCUACGGGAGGCAGCAGUGGGGAAUAUUGCACAAUGGGCGGAAGCCUGAUGCAGCAACGCCGCGUGCGGGAUGACGGCCUUCGGGUUGUAAACCGCUUUCGCCUGUGACGAAGCGUGAGUGACGGUAAUGGGUAAAGAAGCACCGGCUAACUACGUG